ACUAGUGGGGUGGAGGGAUUUUGCAAAAUCCACGCCUCCGGGAAGGGAAACAGGGGACCACAAAAUAAUUAAAAACAGCGGCAAUGAUCUGAGGAGAAACAAACUAAUUUACUAAAUAUAGUAUCGGAAUGUAAGAUAACACACUAUAAUACAAUAUAAAUCAAAAGUAAUUGAGAGAAAGAUUGUCCGAGAGCCAAAGGCCUUACGCUAGUACUGAAGCCUUGCAUGCAGUCAGGAGCAGGAGUAGUGAGCCGAUCCGACAGGGAACACGGCAAGACGAGAAGAGGGCCGAGUCAGAUGACCUGCGCCCUUAUAUCUGUUCCCUUGAGCAGAAAUGAUAACAGUAUUCAAAAAGGCUCUUGGGGAACGUAGUUCUUCUUUUCUUCCAGACAGGUACCCAGAACUAAAGCAUUUGCUCUUUAACUCCCAGUACACUGCAUGAUGUUGUGAUGUGGAAUACUGAUAACCAAAAAUCAUAAAACCAUGACAAACCUUCUCUGGGACCAUUAAAGAGCUAGCCUCCAAAAGGAGAAUAUUUUCUGGACAAAGACUAUUUUCUGAGAAGGAGUGUUUUACAGUUAGAGAGCCUUAUCACCAGAUGAGAAAGUCAAUUUUUUCUUAUGCACGAUCAUUGGUAUUGCAAAGAACUUGUCAGAAACAGUUAUACUGCUUCCUAGGACCAACAGAAGGAGUGCCCCUCUGCUGCUAUAUGUUGCAUGGCAACAAAAUUUAAUUGAAUAUUGGCGAAGAAAUUCUGCCUCUACUGCCAUACUGCCACCAUCUAUUUCUAGUCGAAAGAGUACAGCUAAAUUCCAAGUAUUAUAACCUCCCUGCAUUUAAUGGAAUGAGGGAAAUAAAUGCUUUUGCCUCUCUUGCGAGGGAAGAAAUAAGGUACAGUUGCAUAACUUUGUAACAAGGUAUGUUUAGAGUGAAGAGGUUUUUUGGAACAGAAUAAAAUGUCGAAGAGGCUCAAUUAUUGAGGCUAGAAUAGAUGCCCAGACUUCUGCACUUGUGUAAUUCACUGCAAGAUUAAGCAACUGCUACCAGCUCCUUUUUCCUGUUCCAUCUAUUUUUCUCUUCUUGGGCACUCUGACUGUAGCACUGAUUGGAUUGUUUACAGGAUAAGACAGCAAGUACAAAGUUUUCUGGAGAGUCUUUACUGCAAACUGAGUAAGUCUGAUGCAUCAGGUUUGUUGAAUAUGCAGAUUGAAGAUAAAAACAAUUAUUUUAGUACAUGCACAAUUUGUCAUUUCAGAAGUCUGAUAGCUCAUGCUGUGGAAUGUCUGGGGAAAAAAAACAUCUAAGUAACACAAAAACAUAAGGAAAGCCAUGGAACACAGGAUUUUGAUGUCUUCUGUGGGACAAUGCCUUGACUGAUGGAUUUUGGGAAACAGGGAGGAGGGUCAAACCAGAGAGGAGAUCUUUCUGUGUAAUUUCCGUAUACAGUCAUAGAACUGGGACUCUUUUUCCUAAACUGGAAGAAGAAUGGAGGGCUGGAAGCGGUAAAUACAGUUUUCAAAUUAGAGUACUUGCAGCAUACUCUCAUUCUCGAAGGUCAUCAGCUUUUUCUUAUUCUUACUGGUUAUUUACAUGAUUGUAUUUCUGAAUGUGUAACAUACUCAAGUGGUAUUUAAUGAUAUAUGAGUAUAUUCCAGUUGUAUAUUUUGGUGCACCAAUACUUCCAAAAAGAGCUUUUUUGUAAGCCUGAAAUAUUAUUUAAAAAUAAAUAAAU
Molecule: long non-coding RNA, 1732 nt
Organism: Gallus gallus (chicken)
Lineage: Eukaryota; Metazoa; Chordata; Aves; Galliformes; Phasianidae
Source: Ensembl